This 65-nucleotide transfer RNA is filed under the name Dipodomys ordii (Ord's kangaroo rat). It matches the Rfam family "tRNA". From Rfam's summary of the family: Transfer RNA (tRNA) molecules are approximately 80 nucleotides in length. Their secondary structure includes four short double-helical elements and three loops (D, anti-codon, and T loops). Further hydrogen bonds mediate the characteristic L-shaped molecular structure. tRNAs have two regions of fundamental functional importance: the anti-codon, which is responsible for specific mRNA codon recognition, and the 3' end, to which the tRNAs corresponding amino acid is attached (by aminoacyl-tRNA synthetases). tRNAs cope with the degeneracy of the genetic code in two manners: having more than one tRNA (with a specific anti-codon) for a particular amino acid; and 'wobble' base-pairing, i.e. permitting non-standard base-pairing at the 3rd anti-codon position. Lineage: Eukaryota; Metazoa; Chordata; Mammalia; Rodentia; Heteromyidae. The record is from Rfam by way of RNAcentral.
GGUGGCUCAGUGGUAGAGCGCUUGCCUUGCAAACACGAGGCCCUGGGUUCAAUUCCUCAGCACCA